Long non-coding RNA from Vicia villosa (hairy vetch), 1196 nucleotides. RefSeq lists it as uncharacterized. Lineage: Eukaryota; Viridiplantae; Streptophyta; Magnoliopsida; Fabales; Fabaceae. The transcript is spliced from 6 exons. The record is from RefSeq and is a predicted model, not a curated record.
UGGAGAUUCUGGUAUAUCUGCAUUCCCUGAGGAGGAUAAUAUAUUGUGUUGGAAAGGAACAAUAACAGGAUAAAUGGUCAUCUGCUUAUGAUGUAAGAACGAUUCUUCUCUCUAUUCAAAGCCUACUAGGAGGUUAAAGUUGUAAAUGGUGUUCCACCAACAGGGGACUAUUCUUUUGCCAAGUAUAACAAGGUAAAUGUUGGUUCAGUCUUUAACUUCAUGAUGCCUGCUCUGCAUUGUUGGUUUGAAAAAGUUAUUCAGGAUGGUUGAUGCUUACAGUAGAGGAACCAUAACAUUGGUGACAUAAUUAUCGGUGAUAUAGUAGAACCUGAAGUAAUCUUAGUAGAAACUCCCUCUGUUGGUGGACCGUUUGAUUCAUUAACUGGUAGUAUGGGCAUAUCUUCCCGAGUUGCUUAUUCCUCUCCUAUAGAAACAGCUGGAUAAGGAUCUUUCAAAGGAUAUUACGAAGUGGGGUCUAGGCCUUUAGACAAAGAUGCACUCAGAACAUUUGAUAUGAAAUCUUUAAGCAUCUAUCCAACUGUAAAAGCACCGAUCGAGUUUUCAACUCAGGAGAAGAAUACAUAUUCAUCAUCACAAAAAUGGAAGAUAAUAAUGACCAUGAUUUCUUUUCACACAGAUUCCCAACAAUAACUCAGGUGGUGGAAGAGUUGAAGGAGCUAUGGAACAUGGCUUUACCAAUAACAGCUAUGAACAUGUUGGUUUUUGUGAGAGCUGUUUUGAACGGUGUUGACGAAUAUAAAUAUGAUGGUUUUGAUAGCGGGUUAUGUGGGGGUGUUUAGGAGGAAGGAGAUGAGGUUGAGUUUUUCUUCUUAUCAAUAGUUUUCGUACAACAGAAGGUGUCAAACUAGCAAAGAAAUAAGUACAACCAUUUGGAAAUAAGUUACAGGAAGAUGGUUUCCAAAAUAUAGCAUGCAUAUCAUCUAGCCUUCAAACUGUGAAACCAGGUAUUGUUUGUGGAGGUUGUGCUGCUUAAUACACACAUCAAUUAUUUUUCGUAUGGAUGUUAUUUUGCUAAAGCUUCAAGGUCAAAUGUGGAUUUAUGACAUCUCAUUGGUGUUUAUAUGUCUAAAAAUGUAUCGUUAUGUCUUUUUAAGUAUAUCUAGCUAUUUUCAGUCAAUGAAGACCCUAUUAAAUUCUGAAGGGAAUUUUCAUUCUCUACCAGCCAUGUUUUGUAC